GAUGAAGAACGUAGCGAAACGCGAUAUGUAAUGUGAAUUGCAGAAUUCAGUGAAUCAUCGAAUCUUUGAACGCACAUUGCGCCCGCCAGUAUUCUGGCGGGCAUGCCUGUCUGAGCGUCGUUUCGACCCUCGCGCCCGGCUUCUGUCGGGGGCGGUGUUGGGGAUCGGCCACACCCUUCAGUGGGAGGCCGGCCCCUAAAUUCAGUGGCGACCACGCUGUAGCCUCCCCUGCGUAGUACUAAAACCACCUCGCAGGCGGAGAGCGGUGCGGCCCGCCGUAAAACCCCCCAACUUUUACAAGGUCGACCUCAGAUCAGGUAGGAAUACCCGCUGAACUUAAGCAUAUCAAUAAGCGGAGGA
RNAcentral lists this unclassified non-coding RNA (360 nucleotides) under soil metagenome. Its description in RNAcentral is "partial contains 5.8S ribosomal RNA, internal transcribed spacer 2, and large subunit ribosomal RNA". The stretch from base 1 to 120 matches the Rfam family "5.8S ribosomal RNA", at positions 35 to 154 of the family's 154-position model. The record is from RNAcentral.